This is an RNA transcript of Triticum dicoccoides, 535 nucleotides long. It is a transcript of the gene named phenylacetaldehyde reductase-like, with no coding region annotated. The record is from RefSeq and is a predicted model, not a curated record. NCBI's taxonomy places the organism in Eukaryota, Viridiplantae, Streptophyta, Magnoliopsida, Poales, Poaceae. The transcript is spliced from 3 exons.
AUACAAAUGGGCGUUACUGAUGUCGAGGAGAAGAGUUAGAAGCUCUUGGAUUGAGAAUCUGAGAUUUAUAUAGGUUCAGUAGAACAAAAAGUUUCGGAUUCACUACUCCAGAUACAACGAUGCGGUUGCACAGAGGAGUAUAAGGAUUUCUUCAUCGGGCCAGUCCACGUGGAAGAUGUCGCGUUAGCCCAUAUCACGUUGUUUGAAAACCCGGCUGCAUCCGGGAGGCACCUCUGUGUGGAGCCCAUAUGUCACUUGAGCGAUUUCGCGUCCCAAGUCGCGGAGCUCUACCCCGACUACGAAGUCCCGAAAUUACCUGAGGACACGCAGCCUGGGCUGGUGAGGGUGGAGGUGGUGCCGAAGAAGCUGAUGGCACUGGGCCUGCAUUUCACUCCUUUGGAAAAGAUCAUCAAGGAUGCGGUGGAGAGCCUUCGGAGAAGAGGAUGCAUCGCCUGAUGGCUGGAUUAUUAGCUGUACCAUAUUCCUUCCCUUCUGUUGUAGGGUCAUGAUCAACCCUUGCUCCAGAGAUAUGUUG